Molecule: ribosomal RNA, 421 nt
Filed under: uncultured bacterium
Lineage: Bacteria
Description: partial 16S ribosomal RNA
Rfam family: Bacterial small subunit ribosomal RNA
Source: RNAcentral
AAUAUUGCGCAAUGGGCGAAAGCCUGACGCAGCCAUGCCGCGUGUGUGAAGAAGGCCUUCGGGUUGUAAAGCACUUUGAAUUGGGAAGAAAAGCUGCUGCCCAAUAAGCAUCAGCUGUGACAUUACCGUUAGAAGAAGCACCGGCUAACUCCGUGCCAGCAGCCGAGGUACUACGGAGGGUGCGAGCGUUAAUCGGGAUUACUGGGCGUAAAGCGCGCGUAUGCGGUUUGCUAAGUCAGCUGUGAAAGCCCCGGGCUCAACCUGGGAAUUGCAGUUGAUACUGGCCGACUAGAGUAUGAAAGAGGGAGGUAGAAUUCCAUGUGUAGCGGUGAAAUGCGUAGAUAUAUGGAGGAAUACCAGUGGCGAAGGCGGCCUCCUGGUUCAAUACUGACGCUGAGGUGCGAAAGCGUGGGGAUCAAAC